Molecule: long non-coding RNA, 240 nt
Organism: Limulus polyphemus (Atlantic horseshoe crab)
Lineage: Eukaryota; Metazoa; Arthropoda; Merostomata; Xiphosura; Limulidae
Exons: 5
Source: RefSeq, a predicted model, not a curated record
ACGAACGAUUUAACAUGUGAACCUUUUGAGGAUUCCUUUAUUUGUAAAUGUAAAGAAAGUGGCUUUUAUUACGAUUACAAGGAAGAGAAAUGUUUGGAGAUGCUCGGUGAAUGUAAGGACGAUUCAACAUAUGAACCUUUUGAGGAUUCCUUUAUUUGUAAAUGUAAAGAAAGUGGCUUUUAUUACGAUUACAAGGAAGAGAAAUGUUUGGUUACGGAUAUCACAAACAGUUCUUGUCUU